UAAAAAGUAAGAAAUAUUUUAUAAGAGACAAAGUCGCUAAAGACUCUUCCUUAAUGGUCGUGACUCCGCAUAUUCUUCUCUGAUUUAAAAGCUAAUAACAAAACUUAAAAUUCUCUUCUUUCAAUAGAAGGGAAAGAAACCAAAUUAAAACUAAACGAAGGGCCUCAAGAAGGUAAUUUAUUACAUAAACAAAAGUGAAAAUCAAAUUAGAUGUUUUGCUUGUUCCACUGGAAACAUAAAUCACACUCACUUGACGUAACAUUGAACAAGCAAGGACCGUUCUUAUUUACCAGCCAAAAACAUUCUUUGCAUUUGGACUCAUCUCUUUUAGCUACAUGGAUAUCAAACCAAUGAAACUCUCCUUUCCAUGCCAUGCUGCAAAAGUACAACGUAGUUAGAACGAAACUGGAAACUCAAAAGAUUCUUAGAAAUGGAGUAAUUUGAGGCGAAAAUCAUCAUUUUUGGACUUGCAAUGAAGUUGAAGAUGCAACUCUCCAACUAAUCCGUUAGUGACACGAACAUGGAACUCUUCUUUAAAUAUACUGGCGUAGCAUGUUGUCGCUGUUAGUAACACAAACAUCAUUAGAACACAUUGUCUAAUGAAAGAACUCGUGAUUAGUAUUACUACUCACUCUUGCUAGUGAUUAAUUUCUUAUGGAUAUGGGUUCUUAGGUACUUGUCCGAUUGAAGUUUUUAUAAGUACCAUGUUACUUGCCUCUGCUGCAUGCCAUAAAAUUGGCAAAACCUUGGUCAACGAAGGUAGUAAUGAUUUUACCAUAAUUUACUUGCUUAAUUCGUGGAAUUUGUAUAUGUUCACAUUCCUUAUAGAUUUGGUGACAAAUUCUGCAGGCUAUGGUUAUCUGAUGCGAUUUAACUGUCUUUUUUUAUUAAUACAGUUCAUUGUUUCCAAAUAAAUAAAGAUAAAUGUACUUUCCUUCUCGAUAAGUCAAACUCAACCAAAUGACAAAUUAAAAGAAAAACUUUAACUAUGGGAAUGUUAAUAUUGCCUACACGGACUCACAUUGAAUUAAAAAUAUAAAGUAAUAUUGGAAUUUUAUAGCCUAAAAAUACAAAAUAAGAAUUUGGAUAAAUUUUGUAAUAUUAAAUUAAAUUUCUUUUUUGUCUAAACUUAGUGUAUGUUUUUACCUAUACAUCAAAUCGAUAGAUAAUUAAUAUAUAUUUAUUAGUUUUAAAUCAUAUAACGUAUCAAUUAUUUAAUACUAAAAUAUAAAAAAUUCAUACAUAAAUGUUACUUUAUUAUUAAUUGUGAUGUAUAUACCAAAUUUAUGUAAGAAUUUGAUAGAUCAUAAAUAGUUAUACUUAUUGUGUUUAAUUCCCUUAUAUUUUGAUUGGAUAUUAUGUUUAAUUGUGAAAAUUGUGUUUGUUCUGAUCUAUGUGGUGAAAUGUUAAGGAUUCAGCAGAAUUCAGCUUAAAAACAUAUUUUAAAGCACCACUUAUCAAAAAUCAAGUCUUUUGGAGGAAAAGUGAAAAUGUAUGCACAAUCUCAUUUUCAACAAGGCGUGACCACACCCUACAAUCUAUGAGCUGCUAAAAUCUGUUGAAGAGAAUCUCAAAUUUUUUAAGUUAAAUUCGUGGACUUUUGUGUUAUGUUUUUUAUUUUGGAAGUGCUGAAUAAAGAAAACUGUGUCCUACAAUAUGUAAGGCUUUAUUUGUUUAGAUUCUCUUUUAUUUUAGCUUUUUUUAUGGGAUUAAAAUUAUAUAAGAAGUUUAUUUCUUUCUGGAUAUGGAUUAUUUUAUUAGAAUUUAGGUUUGACUUUCUAUAUAAGGAGGCUAGUUUUACAAAAGGGGGAUGGCUUUGAGCUUUUAUAUUUUUUAUUUUCUUCCUUUAUUCCCUACAACUCUUGUGAAUUUUUACUCCACCAUGUGUGGCUAAGCUUUUAAUUUCUCAUUCAAGAGUGAAUAAGUUCUUAUUGUGAUUUUAUGAGGCUUUGUGCUUAACAGAAUUUCUUCUUUAAUUCAAGUAUUCUUUAUUUUUUGUCUUUAUUGUUUAUAAAUUUUUAAUAUUGAUUGAACUGACGACUCAAUUUGAUAUUGAUUUUUCUAUUGUUAUCCUUGAGUUGUGAUCCGUAAUUGUCAUGAACGAUUGACACAACUAACAAUGAAUUGGUUCAUGUGUGUGUGAUUGCAGCCUUUCCGAAUUACAUAGCUUGCAUGAUAGGUUCUAAGAAAAUAAGGAAACAAGAUUAAUUCAAUUGCAGCUAUCUGGAUUAAUUAAUGUUGAUUUAGUCAUUCUCAUUAUUCUUAAUGCUAUCAUUGAGUUGAUAUGGAACGCUAUUGUGCCCAACUGAUUAAUGGUAAGUUUUGAUUUGGAUGCUAUGUUUGAGUCAAUUAUAUUAAGAGAAUUUACACUUGUUGCGGCUUUUCCAAAUAAGUAUACUAAGUACUUGAAUAGAAAAAUUGAUAUUUAUUCCUAUGAUCAGAAUUAUGAUCGGAUGGAAUUUGCACUCUUAAAUUGAAAAAUUUGGUAAGAUUGAUUUUUAUUUACUUUAAUAUUCAGCUUUUAUUAUUUUUUUAUUUAUAAUUUUAGUUCAAUGAUUCAAACCCCCUAUUUUUGUUAUUUAAUUUUGAAAAUCUAUUCACAUUUGAUCUAUUGGAAUUCAACCUAGUUUCACUAUUUUUACAAGUUAAUUUAGAAAAUCAGUAAUUUAUUUUAAAAGAUUUUGACGAUCCGAUCAAAAUUUCUUAAUUAAAUUUUCCUUUUUAAAAUUAUCGUAAUAACCGAUGACCAUGAAGAGUUAGUUUGAGUAAUAGGCAUGUCUACUCUUUAUGCUAUCACUCUGAAUUUGUUUCUAACAUGUGGAAUUUAAAAAUUAGUUGUUCAAUAAAUAGACCGAUAAUAGAAUGUGUAUUUACACUAAAAAAAUUAUAUUAUUAUCAUUUUUUAUGUUAGCCGAUAUAGUAUGACAAUCCAAUAAGAGUCAAUAUAUAGAAAAUAUAAACUAAUAAAAAAUUUAUACCCACUAAAGAUUUAUUAAUAAUUAAGAAAAUAAAACUACUAAUUUAUUAUUCAAUUUUUUUUAAUUUUUAAUUAAAUUGUUAUUUUAUUGACGUAGAAUUUCCAAUCCAUACUAUAAAAUAUUCCUUUAAACUUGUCUGAAUUGUUCCUAUCAUACUAUGCCUAAUUGGUAGAACGAGUGAACAAAAUAUAUAUUCAAACAAUUUGGAUCUUCGAUAAUUUUAACAUAUGGCUUUGAUUUAUUUCCAGAAAAAUAAAAUGAACACAAAUCAAGCAAACUUUAAUAUCCUUUUCUUUUUACUUUGUUUCGGUCACAUGUAAUCAACUCAUUUACUGUAAUCCCUGCUUUCGUCAUAAUAUCAAACCAUUCGAACCGCUCUUUCCAUGUUGUGAAUAACAACACUAGUAUAUUGGUUGAUGAAAUAAGUCAUUUUGAUUAGGGCAAAUGUUAAAUAUUUCUUCUAUACUAUUUCAAAAUCUUCAUUGUCUGAUGUGGCAUAUAAUGUUUUUACUAUUUUUUUUCUUAAUAUCUUGAGAUUAAGGGACAAAUUUUUAAAUAUAUUACUAAAUUUGCCCCUCGGUUUAUUAGAAGUGAGUUUUUUAUCUCUUACAUUAUGCAUGGAUGAAAGGUGAUCUAAAAGAAAGAGAAACGAAUAGAUGAAGAAUUAGUUUUAAUUGUGUUUGACAAAUAAGAUAUUUUAAGAAGAGAAAAGAAUUGAAAAGAAAUGAUUCCCCUUCUUUCUCCUUGUAAAAUUAAAAUUUGAUUAAAUCCUAAUUUAUAAUGUAAAAAUUUAAACUCAUAAAAAAAUUAAAUUUUAUUAUUAUUUAUCUCUAUUAUUAUAUAAAAAUCCAAAAUUAAUUAAUUGCCCUCCCUUCCCUGUAAUGAAAUUUUUAUAUNNNAAUGAAAAUUUUUAUAUAAUCAAACACAAUAGGAUAAAUAUUUUCUCUUCUCUUCCCUUUAAUUAUCUUUCUUUUUUUUUUUUUAAAUAACUUCCAUCAUUGCUAUGUAUAAUGUUAGAGAAAAAAAAAUUCCAUCGAAAAGAAGACCUAAAAGCCUUAAUUUACUUUAAUAUUCCAAUAAAUAUAAAGGAUAAUAUUAUUGUAAUAAAAUAAUAUAACGAAAUACAAAAGAAGAGUACUUUAAACUGACCGUUACAAAGAUAUGAAAAAAAAAAUCUUAUGAAUAUUACAUAAUUCUUGUCAUAGAUCUCUUAUUAUAGGUAUGAAGUAAAAGACAAGCAAUACAAACAAUGUUAUUAGACUUCCUUCUAAUUCCAUUUAUAGCAUAUAUCGUGUUGCUUAGUCUUUUUAUUUAACAAACAUGGACCUUUUUGUUUUAUCAGCCAGACGCAUGUGUCGCAUUUGUGAUCAUCUCUGUCGUUAACAUAUAUAUCAAACUUUUGAGUCACUCCUUGCCAUCCGAAACUGCAAAAGUAUAAUGUAGUCCUAAAAAAAUUAGGACGAAACUUAAACUCAAAAGAUUGUUGGUUCGCCAGUACUUUGUCACCAAAAUCAGUAUUUUUAGACUUGCAACGGAGUCUAAGAUCUAUAUUUCCUUCUAAUCCAUUGAUCACUCGAACAGUGGCUUUGUUAGGAAGGAGAAAGGCAUCGCAUGUUGAGAUUAGCAACACAAACACAAUUAGAGCAUAUUGUGUUAUGGAAGAAGUCAUGAUUACAAUAUUGUUCUAACUGUGAUGAUUUUUGUGAGAUGGGUUCUUGUGUUUCUGCCGUAUUGAGUUUUUAUAGAUGAAAUUCGGACGCUGGUGUCCAUUGGGCUAAAAAUGGCAAAACCUUAAUUAGCAAAUAGUAAAUUCUUUGUCCAUUCAUUUGUUCCCUUCAUUUAUUUGUUGUUUUUGGGUAUUAACUAUUAAUAGAUUUCUUUUUUUUUUUUUUUCUUUCUUAUUCCUUGAAGUUCUGACAUGGUUUCAUCUAAUGCACUUCAAUUGGUACCCAUUUUUCUCCUCUUGUUUUUUUUUUUUUCAUUUAUAGUUGGUAUUUCUGCAGGUUAUGCUUAUUUGAUGCGUUUUAGCUGUCUUCUUAUUAGUACAGUUCACUGUUUCCAAAUAAAUAAAGAUUCAAUAAGUCAAAUUCAAACAAAAGAAAAAGGAAAAUGUUAAUUAUGGGAAUGAACUCUAUAUUGCUGAUACGGGAGAAAAUACGGUGAUUCAAACUAUAUAAAGUAAUGUUGAAAUUUUUAUAGCCUAAAAGUAUUUUUGAAUUUUUAUAGCCUAAAAAUAUUUUUGAAUUUUUAUAGCCUAAAAAUAAGAAAUCAUAUAAUUUGAAUAAAUUUUAUGAAAUUAAAUUUUGCUCUUUGAAACUCUUUUAACAACCCAUGACCAUAAGGAGUUAGUUUGAGUAAUAGGUAAGUCUAUUAUGGCAUGCUCUUGAGUUUCAUUUGUACACGUGGAAUUUAAAAAUUGAUUAUCAGAUAAUUAACCGAUAAUAGAAUGUGUCUUUGAAUUAAGAAAUUAUAAAAUAAAUCAUAUUUUUUAUAUUCAUAUUUGAUAUGAAAUGACAAUUCAAUAAAAAAAAAUUAACAUAUAUAUAAAUUUAUAGUAACAAAAUAAUUUAGGAAAACUACUCAUUAACUAUUUAUUAACGACUAAAGAAUUAACUUUUCUUUUUUAUGAAAGGCUCAAAAGGCCAUGAACUAUUUAUUCAUUGUUUUUAUUUAUAAGAUGUCUAACAAGCCAUGAAUUAUAUAACAAGAAUAGUUAAUUAUAUUUAUAUUCAUAAAAGGACAUAAAAACUCACUUAAUAUGAAUGAAAUUACUUAAUUUAAAAAAAAGAUUAUUCAUAAAAAGAAAUACUUUUACCAUUUGAGUUAGGCUUAUAAUGUAAAAUAAAUGUUUAUUCACUAUUCACUAUUCUCUUUAAAAAAAAAUUAUUUAACUGGAAAGUUUUUGUCUAAACUAGGUAUAUGUCUCUACUUAUACACCAAAUCGGUAGAUGAUUGACAUAUAUUCAUUAAUUUUAAAUAAUAAAGUAUGUGUCAGUCAUACAAUAAUAAAAUGUAAAACACUUAUAUAUACGUGUCACCAUUUUUUUAUUAAAUUGUUAUUUCAUAUGUGAGAUGUUUAUAUAUUAUAAAUAUUUUCUUUUAAAUAUCGGACUAUGCCUGAUUGGAGAAGGAGCGAGCAGAAUAUAUUUUUAAAUUGUCAAAUGAUCAUUAAUUUAUUUCCAGAAAAAUAAGACGAACAGAAAUCAAACAAACAUUAAAUAAGUUUUUUCACUUUGUUCCACUCAUAACAGGUAAUGAACUCAUGACUCGUAGUAUCUGUGAAGCAAGGACCAAAAGGUCUUAUUGUGUAGUAACAAAACUCGCAUUUACUGUAAUCCCUGCUUUCGUCGUAAAUAUCAAACCAUUCGAACCGCCCUUCCCAUGAAAAGCUACAAAAGAAGAGUGUACUUCCCCAAAAAUUAGGCUUAAACCUAAACUGAAAGGAUUCAUGGUCAUGCAAUAGUUGGAUACCUAUGUCGUUAUUUUUGGAUUUACAGUGCACUGUAAGGGGCAAUCCUACACCAUUAGUGACUUUAACAGUUGUUUCGUCUUCGCCAGGAAAACCUUCAGCAGAUGCCAUGGCCAACACUAGUAGACUUAGAAGCACGAGACCAUUUUUGCUACUUGUGAAACCACUCAUGUUUAGCUUCACUAUUGAUGUUGCUUUGGAGUGUUCUUCCUCUUUUCUUUAUUGGGUCCUAUUUGGGUUUGGACUAUUAAGUUUUAUAGUUGCCAUUGCAUAUCAUAGAAAUAAGUCUGAUGUGCAGAAGAGGUAAUGAACAACUAGAUUUCUAACCCUUUUUUGGAAAAUAUAUUUAAUUAUGCUCUGCUUAGUGUAUAUAUAUAAUAUAACCGUCGUAACGAUUUUAUUGAAAUAUGAUUUUAAUAUUACAUCAUACUUGUAAUUCUUUAUAGCCCCGGAAACGAUUUUAAUACCGCUAAACUAAAUCUUUUCAGACAUUCUUAAUCUUUAUCAUAAGUUUCUUCAAACAUUGAUGGGGCAAGCUGUAACUGAAAACAUAGUUGGGCACAAGCAUCCGUUUACUUGGCCUUCAAUGGAAAUGAACGAGGAAAAAUUGGUUAAGUUCUGAAUAUUUAAAAGUAUUGCAGUAAAAUAAAAGGAAAUAUGGAUAUCUAGAAAGGACAAGAAAAAUCUUGUCUGCUCCAAUUAUAUUUAUUGGCCAUGAUACAUGUUUCAAUGGCAGGUGAAUUUAUUUCCAAUUUUAUCACAAAAGUUUAAUUACAGAAAGUGCCCGGAAAGCUUAUGAUACGAACUCGAACCAGAUACAUUCAACCACCAAGAUAGGCUAGUGGAUCCAUAUUAGUUGAUUUGGAUGCAUCCUUGGUUUCAUAAUUUUACUUGUGUAAUUUGGUCUAAAAUAAAAACGAAAUUUUGUGUGUUGUACAUAAAUUAUGGGCUAUAAUAAUUAUUCUUUUAUAGUAAUCUUUUUUGUGAAAAUAGUAUUUACUUCUUUUCCCGCUAAAGUUCUUUACAGAUAAGUAAUCUCCCUAAGUUUCUGUUCUACCAUUUUCCCAAAAAAAAAAAAAAAAAGCUUUAUUUAGGCUACGUUGCACAUGAUAUCCUUCUUUCUAUAAUCACGUAUGUAUAUUUAUUAAAUGUAUAGAAACAAAUUACAGUUGAUAAGAGCUACUAAGCCACUGAUCUUAUCCAAAUACCCACAUGACAGAUGUAUAUAGUAAGACAAGCAAAAGAUCCUUAAUCAAUGAUAAUCAUUCAUGAUCAGAUAAUGGUCAUUCUAUAAAUUAUAAAAAUUGUACCACAUCAAAAAGAAAAUUCCGAAUUGUAACUGGUGAAUAAAAGUUUAAGAGAAUUUAUAGAUAACAUUGUUAAAGUUAAAAAAUUACGUUAAAUUUGUAAAAUAGUAAAAUCAUAUUUAAGAAAAUCUGAAAAGCUGAAAAAAGAAUUGAGGAAAAUUAAAUUUUACAUAGAGUUUCUAUAUUCUCUCUCUUUAUCAGGUGUAUGCCACCAAAGGAUUGUUCAUCAGUCAAAAUUCUCAGGACGAUCCAUCAGCUGGGGUGCUUUGAGACCAAUCGAUAAAGCCUCUCUACGUGUCGCAUAAUGCAGCAGCAACCUCCAAAUAAAACUCCCAUGAUUAAUCUUAAUCACUGUAUCAUGGCUCUAAUAAAUAUCAAUUUAGACCAACUUUGUGUUUAUUUGACUCGACAACUCCGACAACUCUUGUCAUCAAACAUAUGAAAGUACUGUGCAGAAUUGGAGUUUUUAGAUACAGUUCCUCUACCAAUAGUGCUUCCAUGAGACAUAGGAUAAGCUGCCUUAAAGUUGCUUAUAUUCAAUCUGAAUGGCUAUCUGAAUUAUGGUAUUGCUAUCUUUUCACAUUUAUUUUUCUGGACCUAACAAGGGUCUCCAUUGCUUUUGAUUUAGGUUGGGUAAUACUGUGAGUGAUGUUGAUAAUCCAUCUCUUGCAUUCUCUAAUGCUAGGGCAUAUAGAGGGGACACAGUAAUAUAGGUUAGUGAUCUCUACAGUUUUUUUUUUUUAUUAACCAAAGAGAAAUAAAAAUAAAGACAUAGAACGCUAUCAGUGAUAGUAACUCUUGCUGAGCAUGUUAUCAUACAAACUCUUUUCUAUUGCGGGAUAUUUAUAGAUCCAUAACUAAAAGAAACAAUCAAAAUUUUACCUAAAUAUUCUUAUAAGGGGCAUAAACGCAAUAAGAACUGCCCCCUCUAGGCUUAGAAUCCAUAUUCUUGUUGUUUAGUGAAGGACUUUCAACUGCUAAAUUAUCAUUCUUUGCAGCAGUGAUCUCUAUAGUUAUUAUGUCUAAUUAAUACUUAUAUCAAUUCUCUAAUAUUUUUUUCAUAUGACGGUAAAAUAUACCACGUUUAAUUUGUUCAACUAUUGAAAGUAUGCGUAAUUUACAUGAAUUAUAAUUAUAAUAUCUAUUAAUUUUUCAUUGUUCAAAUAUAAAAUAAAAGAAGGAAGAAAAAAUUCCUUAGCUAUUCUCUUCAACUCUUUCGCCCUCUCCAACGUAACCCUAGCUGCCAAAUUUCCUUCAUGUUUUCCUAGUUGUUUAUUCGGGUUGAAUCCUUGUUCCCGCCAGACAAGUCUAUGAAUUGGUGUUUAUUUAGUUCUUUUGUUUCAUUCAUCUCGGACACAGAAUUAGUUUUUUCUUCAAUGACGAACGGAAUGCAAGAUAUAUUGACUUUAUUUUGCAGAGAUCUCAUUUUUAAAAUAGACUACUUUAUUUUUACAUCUCUCGUAUUUAGGUUGUAUAGAUAGCUUUCUUUUUUUCCCCCUUAAAUUAGACUAGUUUUCUUUGUUCAUUAGUGAUCUUUGUGUCUUUCUCGCUCCAGCGGGAGCUGUUCUUUCUAGAAUUGUUUCAGCAAAAGAUGGUGGCGGCGGCAGCGAUCUAGCAACAACAGCUCCGACAUCAACUGUAGCAGUUUUCUUUUUGUAUAAAGGUUAGUAAAGCAUUUCUUCAAGAGUUUUAAAACAGUUGUAUAUCAAAUAUUUAAAUUUAAAAUUUUAGUUAAAUUAGAAAAAACUCUUACCAUUUUAUCUAUGCAAUCUUAGGUACUAUAACAGUUUUCUGUUAUGUUAGAUUGAAAUAUUUUACUUUAUUGGGCUUUGUUUGGGCUAGUCUUCUAUAAGAAUACAUAUCUUUCAAAUUUUUCUUUUUUUUUUUUUUGAAAAAAACAUGCAACACAUUAGAUACUGUCACUUAAUUGAUUUUACAUCUGUAUAUAUAGUCCAACGCAAACCGAUAGCUUAAAAUUGAAAAUGUACCUCAAGGGAAUAUUUGCCUAAAGACCAGGGAACAUUUGUUUUUAUCUUUUCCAAAUUGAACUGUAUGAAAUUACAGCCUAAUUGCUUUUUUUUUUUUUUCAGAAAUAUAUAAAAAGCUAAUGAAUAGGAGCAGUUUCCCAUUGUUAUUUGGGUUGCUAUCUCUUUCAAUGGCAUUAAGCUAAGUAAUGAGUCCAACAGGGAAGAGAGAGCAAUGGCAGCGAUAAGAUUAUGCCUAGCACAUGGGAAACACUCGGUAAUGUCACAGUGUAAAGAUUAUACAAAUCUUUGUUUCCUAUCCGUUGAUAAAAAUACCCUUAUGCAGUGGUGGACCUAGUCUUCUUCAUUUCAGGGCAUUCUCCAAAAUUAGUACCAAUGACACCUGCAGCUGAAUAUUAAUUCUUAGGCUCACCAUAGUUUAUACUUCUCAUUGCUAUUUUUUUCUUUUCCUUUCCUUUAAAAUCAUUCUUCCAAUGUUUUAAUGAUAGAUAAACCAAAAAGCUAAAUAAUAAUAUAAUUGUUUUUUGUUAAGGGAGAAAAAAGAACAUAGAGAGAACUCAUCAUUAAAAUGAAAAAUGUUAUAGGAAGGGUCUAGAUGAGAACUGAGGUCUCCAUGUAGGUCCCUUAUUGCUCUUAUAUUUACACAUAUUUUUCCUUUCUUGUUUUAUAUCAAAGAGAGAAAGACUAUCUUUAUACAGAUAUAUUGUGCUAUGGUAUGAUUUAUCUCCACCUCUGAAGGGUACUUGAGAGUUUUGGAGAGAGUGGAAAUUUCUUCAUUAAUUGUCUAUCUCUCUCAAGUGAUUGAGAGCAUGCUUUGGUUUGAUGCAAAUUGCUUUAUCGCCAACAUAGCUUUUUAAAUUUGUUUCUCCUCAUUCACUAUAACUAUAAACAUGGGCAACCAAAUCCCUGGGGCAGGAAUGGUGACACUUGGUUUAUGCAUAUCAUUGUCAAUGGUGGUUGACGAAUGACUCAGAUGAUCAAUUGACCCACCACUACUUUGUUUUUCGCUUGAGGAGCAAAUUGAAUAAUAUUAAUUAUCAAUAUGUUAUGCAUAUCUCAAUGUUUAAGGACAGAUUUCAUUUGCAAUCCAUAAAAAUAUGUUUGUUUCUCAGCAUAUAUAAAUUCAAUUCAUAUCAAAGAAUCCAUUAUAAUUGGAUGUGAUGUCAUACUACCAUGAACCAUGUAAACUCUUAUAAAUAUUAAAUUUAUGAUGUUACAUUCUCUUUGCAGUUCAAAUUUUUCUCAAAAUCAGAUAAACAAAAUUUUAGUUAUACUAAAAUUAAAAUAUAAAGAGUUUUACCAUAUAAAUUUCAAUGUAUAAAAUUUAAAUCCGAAGACUCCAAGGGAAAUUUAUUUGAAUUUCUAUGAUUUCUUUCUUUUAUGUCAGAUAAAUAUUAGAGUGCCAAUUUGAAUUCAUGUGGUAAUAUUAAUGAUUCAGUCAAGUAAACCAUAUUUAGGUUGAACCUUAUGAUAAUUUUUCUUAACUGGGCCAGCCGACAGGAUUAAACCCUAGCUAAGGGAGCAAGGCAAGUUGAUAUUUGAGCUGAAAAAAAAUAUGAAUAUGAUAGAGCAAAAUCACAGCUAAUAAUUUGAAAAAAUAAAGAUAAAGUAACACAAAAUACACAAUAGAACACACAGAUUUACGUGAAAAACUCCUAAACAAAUUAGAGUAAAAACUACGGGCAAGGAUAGAAGAAUUUUACUAUAAGAAAAUAAUAGGAGUUACAAACUCUCUAUUUAUAAAGGAGAAAACAUUAAAAUUCUCUCUUUAUAAUAGGAGAAAAAUAAUUACUUAACUCUCUAAUAUUUUUCUCUUAUUUUUUGGAUGAUAGAAUAACAAGGUGAGGCCUCUAUUAUAUAGGCUUGCAUAUCCACAGUGCCCUUUUCCACUUUUUCACAAACGAAGUGAUACUAGACUCGUAUGUGCUUUGACUUUGAAUGAAAAGCUAGAUUCCUUGCGAGAUGCAAGGCACUCUGACUGUCACAGAACAGAGAAAUAUGCUCUUAUUCGUGCCCGAGUUCCUCCAUCAUCAUUUUCAACCAUACUACUUCCUUACUAGCUUGUGUAGCUGCUAUAUAUUCUGCUUCUAUUGUUGAUGUCGCCACAACUGACUGCAGUUUUGAUACCCAGCUCACAACUCCGCCAGUAAGUGUGAACACAUACCCUGUAGUAGAUUUGUUUUUAUCAAGAUCACCUGGAUAAUCUGAGUCAACAUAUCCUCUGAUAAUAAAGUCUGAUCCUCCAUAACACAAUGCAACAUCUGAGGUUCCCUUAACAUAUCUUAGGAUCCUCUUUACAGUAUUCCAAUGCUCUCUGCCAGGAUUCGCCAUGUACCGACUUACUACUCCCACUGCAUGUGCAAUGUCUGGUCGUGUACAAAUAUCGCGAACAUUAAACUCCCCACUACUGAUGCAUACGGUACUCGAGACAUUUUCAUCCUUCCUUCUUCACUGCUAGGACUCAUACUAAAGGAUAAUUUGAAACUAAUAGGAAGUGGGGUAGAAAUUGACUUACAAUCUUGUAUAUUGAAGCGUCGCAAGACCUUCUUCAAAUAAUUUUUCUGAGAAAGCCAAAUCUUCCUAUUGUUUCUGUCUCGGUGAAUUUGCAUCCCUAGAAUCUUGUUUGCUGGUCCCAAGUCCUUCAUUUCAAAUUCCCUAGCCAACUGUGCCUUUAGUUCUUCAAUAUGAUCUUUGUUGGGGCCUGCUACCAACAUGUCAUCUACAUACAACAGUAAGAUAAUAAAAUCACUUUUACCAAACCUUUUGAAAUAUGCACAAGGGUCUGCAUUAAGUCUGUUGUAUCCAAGGCUCAUGAUGAAGGAAUCAAAUCUCUUAUACCAACACCUCGGCGCCUGCUUUAACCGUAUAAAGAUUUGUUCAACCUAUAAACCAAAUUCUGCUUUCCUUUUUCUUUAAAACCUUCUAGCUGGAGCAUAUAAAUUUCUUCCUUAAGAUCUCCAUGAAGAAAAGUUGUUUUCACAUCUAGCUGCUCUAGAUGUAAGUCAAAUGUAGCACACAUCGCCAAGACUACUCGAACAGUUGUUAAUCGAACCACAGGGGAAAAUAUUUCGUUGAAGUCAAUCCCUCCUUCUGAGCAUAUCCUUUCACCACCAUUAUUGCACGAAACCGCUCCACUUGAUCAUCACUAUUUCUUUUAAUCUUAAAGACCCAUUUGUUGCCAAUGGCCUUUCUUCCUUGUGGUAGUGGCACAAGCUCCCAAGUCUUGUUCUUAUGUAGAGCUUCCAUCUCUUCUUGCAUUGCUGCCAUCCAUUGAGAUGCAUCUGAACUGCUCAUUGCUUCUUGGAGAGUUGAUGGCUCCUAUUUCUCAGUUAGAAGACAGUAUGUGACAUUGCUGCCUAUAUCAUAAUCUUUCUGCCAGGUUGGUGUAAAUUUUAUUUGUUUUUUCUUUCCAAGUUCUGACUCUUCAAACUCGGCUGGCUCUUCAAACUCGACUGGUUCUUCCUCUUCGUGCUCUGGUGCUGCUUCAGAAGAAUCUUCUUCUGUAAACUUUCUUUCCACCUGUAUAGUUGUAGUCUCUAAUUUUUUUUUUUUUUGAAGUGCUAUCAUCUUCUCCCUUCAAUUUAUCUUUUAAGAAGAUUACAUCCCUGCUGAUUAUAACCUUGUGGGCAGUGGGAUCCCACAGGCGAUACCCCUUCACACCAUCAGCAUAUCCCAAGAACAAACACUUCCUGGAUUUUGGAUCUAGCUUUGUAGUUUCUUGGGUAUUAUACAUCACAUAUACAUGACUUCCAAAUAUAUGGAGGUUUGAAUAAUCAACUGGCUUCCCAGUCCACAUCUCCAUCAGUGUAUUUUGAUCAAUUACUGUAAAUGGAGACCGGUUAAUCACAUAACAAGCGGUGUUAACUGCCUCAGCCCAGAAUGCCUUAUUUAGGCCUGCAGCUCCCAACAAUGCUCUAGUUCUUUCUAACAGAGUUCUGUUCAUCUGCUCUGCCACUCCAUUUUGUUGGGGAGUGUAUGUCGUAGUGAACUGCCUCUUGAUGCCUUCUUGCUUGCAAAAGCUAUUAAAUUCAUUACCUAUGUAUUCUCCUCCAUUAUCUGUCCUCAAACACUUGAUCUUAUUGCCUGAAUCAAGUUCAACCCGCGCUUUGUAAGUUUUAACAACUGCAAAUACAUCUCCCUUGCUCUUGAUAGGAUACACCUAACAUCUCCUGGAGUAAUCAUCAAUGAAGGACACAAAGUACUUAGCUCCUCCUAGUGAUGAAACUCGUGCUUGCCAUACAUCAGAGUGAACUAAUUCUAGAACAUCCUUGCUUCUAGAAUUGGAUGUAUUAAACUGUAGUCGAUGCUGCUUGCUUGUUAUGCAAUGCUCACAAAAGGGUAAUGACACAUUUGUGAGACCAGGAAGUAUAUUUUUCUCUGCAAGAACCUUCAUGCCUUGUUCAGACAUAUGUCCAAGCUUCUGAUGCCACACCAUUGCAGAUCUCUCGCUUGAACUACUUGAAGCAACAGAUGCUUCUGCUUUAUACACAGUCUCUCCCAAAAAUAUAUACAAAUUAGCAGCAAUUUUUUCUCCUUUCAUAAUUACAAGCGCUCCUCGGCUAAUCUUCAUGAUUCCUUUCUGAACUUUGAUAAUGCAAUUAAGAUCAUCCAGCUGUCCCAGAGAUAACAAAUUCUUCUUCAGACCUUCCACUUGUCGCACUCCUUGAAUAGCGCAGACUGUACCGUCAUGCAUCUUCAACCUGAUAGUUCUAAUGCCUAUGAUUUUUAAGACAUUAUCUUCACAACUAUACACAGUUCCUCCUAAGAUAGGUUCAUAAUGAUGGAACCAUUCUCUUCGAGAGGUCAUGUGAUAAGUUGCUCCUGAGUCAAGAAGCCAUACAUCAGCAAAUCUCUUCCUGCUCUCAGUUGAUAUUGCUGCUUCACAGCACAAUACAUUUCCAUCAUCCGAAGUGCAUGCCACAUUUCCUUGAGGAUUGGAAUUCUUCAGACUCCAACAAUCCCUCUUCAGGUGACCUUUCUUACCACAAUGGUAGCAUUUAUAAUUCUUCUUACUUUUUGAUUUUGAUCUACCAUGAUUGUGACUCCCAUUUGGACCACGUUCUGUUGAUCUCCCUCUCAUCACCAUCAAGGCUUCCACCUGUUGUGAACCUGCCUGCUUGUCUUCCUUGUUCCUUCGCCGAUUUUCUUCUUCAAGAAUAGCGGCUGCUAUAUCAUCAAAGACUAGAAUUUCGGUAACAACAUUAUUUGUCAAACUGAUGAUGAGUUGAUCAUACGAAUCAGGUAGACUUUGGAGUAGAAGUUCUGCACGUUCUUGUGACUCUAUUUUAUAGCCCAAAGAUGUGAGUUGGGAAAAUAGAGUAUUCAAGAUAUUAAGGUGAUCUGUCACUGAAGUGGAUUCUGACAUUCUUAAUGUAUAAAGUUUCCUCUUAAGGAAAAUUUUGUUAUGUAAUGACUUGGCCUCGUACAGUCUAGUGAGGUGGUCCCAAAUCUCCUUUGUCGUUUUCUUUUCUUCUAUAUUGGACAAGAUCCCAUCUGCAAAUGCCAGAUGAAGGUUUGCAAUAGCAUUUCCACCCAUCUCGUUCCACUUAUUAUCAUUUGUGAGUGUUGUCGGUCGUUCACUGAUAGCCGCAAGACAAUUGUCUUUUCUCAAUACAGCCUUUAUCUUUAAUUUCCACAGUGAGAAAUUACUCCCGUUGAACUUUUCAAUCUCAAAUUUUGCCGUCAUUGCUUCUAUCACAAACGGUGCCUUUUAGCUUGUAAAAUGAACCGCAGUAAUGAACACAACUCACUAGGUAAGUUUCCAGGAAAGACUGGAGGGUCACAAGCGGACCUCUUAAAUACCAAUCUCCUUAGACAUAACCUUCCCUAAAUUGUAAGUAUUCUUACUACUCCACACAAGCUCUGUUGCACCAAAGAAACCUAAAAAAAAAACCUCAUUUUAAUGUGAAAGAUCAAACUAAGCUGCAAUCACAGAAUUUUAAGGAAUUUCUUACCAACCAAGCUCUGAUACCAAUUGAAGAAAAAUAUGAACCUGAUAGAGCAAAAUCACAGCUAAUAAUUUGAGAAAAUAAAGAUAAAGUGAGACAAAAUACACAAUAGAACACACAGAUUUACGUGGAAAACCCCUAAACAAAUUAGAGUAAAAACCACAGGCAAUGAUAGAAGAAUUUUACUAUAAAAAAAUAAUAGAAGUUACAAACUCUCUAUUUAUAAAGGAAAAAACAUUAAAAUUCUCUCUUUAUAAUAGGAGAAAAAUAAUUGCUUAACUCUCUAAUAUUUUUCUCUUAUUUUGGGAUGAUAGAAUAACAAGGUGAGGCCUCUAUUAUAUAGGCUCGAAAGAUACCUCAACAUUGUUAAUUUAGCAAUGUGGGAGAAAUACUCCUCAAAAAAAUUAAUAACUUAACAAUGUGUGAGAGAUACAAAUCCCUAAAUAUCGGCAUGAGCUUGAUCAAAAAUAUAAUAAAGUUACAAGAAUAGUGCAGGCCGACUUCAUGUGCAGGAGUUGCAGAAGAUUUCAACAAUAAUAUGAGAGCGACCGGUCAAUUUAUGUUGGAUCAAACUCUCAUCCAAAUAAUAAGAAAUUGUACGUGUGAUUGUGUUAUUCGAAUUGUUACAUUUAUUAUAAUGCUUGCUAAUCAGUGGAUUGGCUAACAAAUCCACUGUUAUUUGUGAUAGUCAAUAUAGAAAAAAAAAAAAAAAAAAAAAAAAAAAAAACCAGCUUGAUCAAAUCAAGAGUUGCAUCAAAAUAUCUCCUUGUCUUUUCAUCUUGGAUAAGUGCCAAGAUUAAUCUGAUCCUAAUAGGCUCUUUUAUUUUGAUUGGAAAUCUAAUUUUAUCAAAAUGUCAAUUUCUUUUGGAACAAAAGAAUACAAAUCAUGUGUUGUUUGCAUCAGCUUAAUGGAUAAACAUGUAUGCUAAUUCGUUGAUAUUUAAAAGGAUUUUAAGGCAUAUCUUUUUUUUUCUAUUUAUGAAAUUAAAUUUUAGUUUAUGGGUAUUGAUUAUUGGAAUUAAAUAUUAAGUGCGAGCAAAUUUUUGAGUAAUAAUUAUAAAAAUCAAACUUUGAAAGAGAGCAAAUACUGCUAUCACUUAAAUUUUAUAGUAAAUGUUAUUGAUUUUUUAUUAGCCUAAGGGUUUCCCAAUAAUUAAUUAUUCCUCUCAAAUAUUAAGUAAAAUAAAAUUAGAAUUGAUAAAUUUAAAUAUAUUUAUAUUGUAUGAAAAAGAAUUUGUUAAUACUCAUGUGUAAUAGAAUGCGCGUAUGAUGUGUAUGUUUGUGUAUACAAAUAUGAAAAAUGAGCUUUAAAAAUCUAUACGAUGUUGUCCAUAGAUCAAAUUAUUUCGUGUAUUAGAUUUCACUUGACUCUCUAUGGCUCCAUUGUGUAUGCUCAUGAUUAUGUAAAAUGAGCUUUUCUAUUUAAUUUUUUUUUAUUUCUAAGUGAUGGAGAAAAAUAACCUAGUUGAAAAGUAAUGAUCAUUACGUCUAUAAUGCAUUAUAUAUAUAAAUUUAUGAAACCUAAAUUUUUUCACACGUGUGUUUAAUUUUUUAUAGAUAAAAUUUUUAUUUUAAUAUAUGUAUUUAUUUUUUACACAUAGAAUUCAAUCUUAUAUGUCAUUUUGUAAUUUUUAUUAAUUUAAUUAAUAAAUUACAUUCUAAUUAAAUACUAACUAUAAUCUUAAAAAAUAUCAUAUAUUAAUUAUGUUUUAAUAUUAUAUUAACUAAUAAAUAUUUUUCUAAUCCGAUAAUGAUACUAAUUCUAUCCUAAGAAAUAAUAUAUUAAUUAUAUUUUAAUAUUAUAUUAACUAAUAAAUUAAUUUUUUAACUAGAUAAUAAUUCUAAUUCUAAGAAAUAAUAUAAUUUUAAAAAAAUUAAAAAUAAUAUUUAAAAAUAAUUAGUUUACUAUUAUUCUUUAAAAUAUUAUAAAUAAUAUUAAACAUUAAAAAUUUUAUUAAAUUGUACCUAUGAACUAGGUUUUAUAAUAGAAAUAACGCAUGGGUAAACAACUAAUAUUUAGCUUAAAUUUUAAUAUGAAUUUGAAAUAUUUUAUUAAUAUGAAAAUCAAUUUGUGAUAUAUUAUAAAUUUAAUCUCAAUUUAUAUGUUAAAUAAUUUUAUCUUAUUAUAACAACUUGAAAGAAAUAACCUAAGAAUUAGGUUUUCAUUAUUGUAUUCUGAUUUUAAAAAGAGAUACAUCAGCCUUAUAUUUAUACUUAUAUGUAAGACUUUGAUAGAAACUAAAUAACAAACUCUUAAUAGCUAGACUCUAAAUUUAAAAGAUAAAUACUUAUCAUAUCCUAAAUUUAAAAGAUAAAUACUUAUCAUAUCCUAAAUUUAAAAGAUAAAUACUUAUCAUAUCCUAACAACCCUAACAACUCAAAAUCUCAACACUCCUCCUCAAGUUGGUGCAUAAAUAUCAUACAUGCUCAACUUGCCUAGACACUUAAAGAACAUGUGACUUGAGACUGCUUUGGUAAGGAUAUCAGCCAACUGAUCUUCAGAACAUACUUUAGGCAAUUCUAUGAUAUUCUCAUCCAACUUCUCUUUGAUUAAAAAUCUGUCAACCUCUACAUGCUUUGUCCGAUCAUGCUGUACUGGAUUAUAAGCUAUAUCACGUGCUGCUUUAUUGUCACAAUACAAUCUAACCGGCUGCCUCAGUGUGUAACCUAAAUCUUCCAAAAUUUGUUUUAACCAUAAGGCUUCACACACACCAACAGCCAUUCCUCUGAACUCAGCCUCUGCACUAGACCGAGCAACAACAUUUUGCUUCUUGAUUCUCCAUGUCACAAGAUUUCCACCCACAAACGAAAAAUAUCCUGCAGUUGAUCGUCUAUCAUCGAUUGAUCCAGCCCAAUCAGCAUCAGUGUAAACCUCUAUGUUUUGCCAAUCCAUAUGUUGAGUGAACAAAAUUUCUUUUCUAGGUGCAGACUUCAAAUACCGUAAGAUUCUUAUGACAGUAUUCAUAUGUCUUUCUCCAGGAUUAUGCAUGAAUUGGCUAACAAUACUCAAAGCAUACGCAAGAUCAGGUCUUGUGUGAGCUAAAUACAUUAAUCUUCCUACAAGUCUCUGAUAUUUUCCUUUAUCAACGGGUACUUGGUCUACCUCAAUGCACAACUUCAGGCCUUCCUCAACUGGUGUGUCAACUGGUUGACAUGCUGACAUUCCAGUUUCAUGCAAUCAAUCCAAUGCAUACUUCCUUUGGGACAGAAAAAUUCUUUUCUUUGAUCUUGAAACUUCAAUCCUAAGUAAAUAUUUCAAGCAACCCAGGUCUUUCAUUUCAAACUCUUUGGACAAGUAUUCUUGUAAUGCCUUCCUCUCUUCUGGAUCAUUUCCUGUAACUACCAUGUCAUCCACAUAGAUAAUGAGAGCUAUGAUCUUCCUAUUUGCCUUCUUUAUGAAUAAGGUAUGGUCUUCAUUACUCUGAUGAUAUCCAAAAGCUUUCAUAGACUUAGAAAAUCUCCCAAACCAUGCCCGUGGAGAUUGUUUCAGUCCAUACAACGAUUUCUUCAACUUGCAAACUUUCCUAUUUUGCAUUGUUGACAUACAUCCAGGUGGAAGCUCCAUAUAGAUUUCUUUGAAUAAUUCACCAUGUAAAAAAGCAUUCUUAACAUCAAACUGCUGUAAUGACCAACCCAAAUUUGCAGCCAAGGAUAAUAGCACUCUCACAGUACUGAUUUUAGCUACAGGAGAGAAGGUUUCAGUGUAAUCAAUCCCAUAGAUUUGAGUGUAUCCUUUUGCUACCAAUCUUGCUUUGAAUCGCUCGAUUGUGCCAUCUGCUUUAUACUUUAUGGUGUAGACCCAACGACACCCUACUGGUUUCUUUCCUGCUGGACAAUCAACAAGCUCCCAUGUUUCAUUCUUUUGCAAGGCUUUCAUUUCAUCGUUCAUUGCAGCUUUCUAUUUUGGAUCAGAUAAAGCUUCUUGCACACUGUUAGGAAUAGAUACAGUAGAUAAUUGAUUUGACAGUGACUUAUUUUAAUUCUGACAGGAUAUUAUUCGACACAUAAUGACUCAUUGGGUAUUUAACUUUACUAGAAAUUUCAGGCUCAUAACUAAGUUUAGGAAUACCUCUGGUGGAUCGUUCUGGUAAUCGUUUUCUCGGUGGAUCGGGUUCAAGAAUAGGAAUAUCUUCAGCAGGUGAUUGGCGUGGUAUUUCAGCUUGGGAUUCAGGGUCUUCUUCACCUGAGGACUCUUCUUCAAUCGAUGGAGUUAGAUCUUCUUGCUCAAUACGUAUCCCAUGAUUUUCUGAGUGAUCACCAACACCAUUAUCAACCACUUCAUACUCCUCCUGAAAUUGAUAAUCUAAUGUCUGAAUUUCUUCAUGUCUCUCCUCCGGAAAUUCAGACUCGAAAUACAUCACAUCUUCAUGAAAGACUACAUCUAUAGAUAUGAACAUACGUCGAGUUGGAGGAUGAUAACACCUGUACCCCUUUUUAUUUGUUGCAUAUCCAAGAAAUACACAUCUUAUUGCUCGAGGAGCAAGCUUAUGGCGGUGAUGUUUAUGAAUAUGUACAAACACUACACAGCCGAAGACAUGAGGAGGUAAGUUUGAUGUUGAUGGAGCAGUUGUAGUAUCAUUAAGAACCUGAAAAGGUGUCUGAAAAUCAAGAGUCUGUGAAGGACUUCGGUUAAUUAAAUACGCAGCAGAAGUAAGAGCUUCUCCCCAAUAUGAUAAUGGCAUUUUUGCAUGAAGCAAUGAGGCACGAAUAACUUCUAGUAAAUGCCUAUUCUUCCUUUCAGCUACCCCAUUUUAUUGGGGUGUAUAAACACAUGUACUUUGAUUGACAAUUCUAUUUUCUUCCAAAUAAUGCUUCAAUUCAGAGUUAUGGUAUUCACCACCAUUAUCGCUGCGAAGCACUUGAAUAUGUGCAUUAUAUUGAGUCUUAACAUGUGUAUGGAAUUUCUGAAAUAGUGCACUCACAUCACUCUUAGAUUUCAUUAAGCACACCCAAGUCAUCCUUGUGCAAUCAUCGAUAAAAGUAACAAACCAACGAGAUCCCCCCAAAGUUGAAAUUUUAGAUGGACCCCAAACAUCAGAAUGAACAAUCAUAAAAGGUAAAUGACCUCUAUUAAAACUUGAUGAAAAAGAGAUUCGAUGACUCUUGGCAAGUUCACAAACAUCACAACGAAAAAUAGAAACAUCAAUGUUGUUAAACAAACCAGAAAAUAACUUUUUUAGGUAGCCAAAAGAAGCAUGCCCUAGUCGUCUAUGUUGUAACCAGAUUUCUGCUUCAUUUUUUUCCUUCUUUGGAUCAUCCAAUGCAAACGCAUGAUGCAACUUGGAAGAAGUAUUCAAUUGCAUGUCCAAGUAGUACAAAUUCCCUCGCCUAAUACCACAGCCAAUCGUCUGCUUCAUUUGGAUAUCCUUAAAACAACAGAAAUUGGGCCAAAAAAUAACAAUACAAGACAAAGCUGAUGUUAUUUGGGAAACAGAUAAAAGGCUGUAAUUUAAUGAUGGAACAAUUAAAACUGAGUCUAAAUUUAAAGAAUUGGUGGCAGUAAUAGAUCCCUCUCCAAUAAUUGGAACCUCAUUACCAUUUGCUAUCAAAACAGAUUUUUGUAAGGAUGGUCUAAGUUUCUUAACUUGUCCAGAAUCAAAGGUCAUAUGAUUUGAAGCNNNNNNNNNNNNNNNNNNNNNNNNNNNNNNNNNNNNNNNNNNNNNNNNNNNNNNNNNNNNNNNNNNNNNNNNNNNNNNNNNNNNNNNNNNNNNNNNNNNNNNNNNNNNNNNNNNNNNNNNNNNNNNNNNNNNNNNNNNNNNNNNNNNNNNNNNNNNNNNNNNNNNNNNNNNNNNNNNNNNNNNNNNNNNNNNNNNNNNNNNNNNNNNNNNNNNNNNNNNNNNNNNNNNNNNNNNNNNNNNNNNNNNNNNNNNNNNNNNNNNNNNNNNNNNNNNNNNNNNNNNNNNNNNNNNNNNNNNNNNNNNNNNNNNNNNNNNNNNNNNNNNNNNNNNNNNNNNNNNNNNNNNNNNNNNNNNNNNNNNNNNNNNNNNNNNNNNNNNNNNNNNNNNNNNNNNNNNNNNNNNNNNNNNNNNNNNNNNNNNNNNNNNNNNNNNNNNNNNNNNNNNNNNNNNNNNNNNNNNNNNNNNNNNNNNNNNNNNNNNNNNNNNNNNNNNNNNNNNNNNNNNNNNNNNNNNNNNNNNNNNNNNNNNNNNNNNNNNNNNNNNNNNNNNNNNNNNNNNNNNNNNNNNNNNNNNNNNNNNNNNNNNNNNNNNNNNNNNNNNNNNNNNNNNNNNNNNNNNNNNNNNNNNNNNNNNNNNNNNNNNNNNNNNNNNNNNNNNNNNNNNNNNNNNNNNNNNNNNNNNNNNNNNNNNNNNNNNNNNNNNNNNNNNNNNNNNNNNNNNNNNNNNNNNNNNNNNNNNNNNNNNNNNNNNNNNNNNNNNNNNNNNNNNNNNNNNNNNNNNNNNNNNNNNNNNNNNNNNNNNNNNNNNNNNNNNNNNNNNNNNNNNNNNNNNNNNNNNNNNNNNNNNNNNNNNNNNNNNNNNNNNNNNNNNNNNNNNNNNNNNNNNNNNNNNNNNNNNNNNNNNNNNNNNNNNNNNNNNNNNNNNNNNNNNNNNNNNNNNNNNNNNNNNNNNNNNNNNNNNNNNNNNNNNNNNNNNNNNNNNNNNNNNNNNNNNNNNNNNNNNNNNNNNNNNNNNNNNNNNNNNNNNNNNNNNNNNNNNNNNNNNNNNNNNNNNNNNNNNNNNNNNNNNNNNNNNNNNNNNNNNNNNNNNNNNNNNNNNNNNNNNNNNNNNNNNNNNNNNNNNNNAUAAUAGGUUUCGAUCCAGAUGGUUCACCAUCUCUACCACUCAUGUUGUUUUAAGUGUUUCAAAGCCUCUCUUUUUUUGUAGGCUCUGAUAUCAACUUGAAAUAAAUAACCUAAGAAUUAGGUUUUCAUUAUUGUAUUCUGAUUUCAAAAAGAGAUACAUCAGCCUUAUAUUUAUACUUAUAUGUAAGACUUUGAUAGAAACUAAAUAACAAACUCUUAAUAGCUAGACUCUAAAUUUAAAAGAUAAAUACUUAUCAUAUCCUAAAUUUAAAAGAUAAAUACUUAUCAUAUCCUAACAACCCUAACAACUCAAAAUCUCAACAUAACAACCAUAAUUAUUAUAUAGAAUUCUAAAAAAUUUCACCAAUAUGCAUUUAGGGAAUAUUAUAAUGUGACUAAAAUAUAUAUCAAUUGAAAUUUAGUAGGCAAAUAAUCUUUUUAUCAAAGAAAGAAAGAAAGAAGUAACCUACAAUUAGCCAAACAAGUUAGUGGAGAAUGGAAAAAUAAUUUUAUUUAAUCUCUGAAUUUCUAUAUACAUAUUUUUAUGUAAGAAAUUUAGUGGAUGCAAUAAGGUUUUCAAAAAAAAGUUAAUUCUUAUUAUGCAUUAAUGGGAGGACUAACCUCAACAAAAUUAUAAGGAUUAGUCUUAAUAUAAGCUAGAGGAGAAAAUUUAGUUUUAUUACUUACAAUUAUGUAUUGAACAAAGAAUUCAACAAACAAAAGAUUGAAUCGAAACAUUGGUCAUUUUGCAUCAUUGUUUAAUGACUAGUAAGUGCCCUCAUUCUAAUUGCUUUCAUUUAGAUCAUGGAAUAGGCAAGUAUCCAGUAAUAGGACUGUUAAAUUCUAUAAUCAAUCAACUUAAUUUUCCGAAUGUAUUUUUGGAAAAUCUGAAUAACUCAGUAAAUAAUUUUGCUAAGCAUUUAGAAAAAUUGAUUCUAAAAUAGUGAAUUUAAAAAUUAUUUUCUUAAGAAUAAAAAGUUUUUGGAUUCUGUUACUAGGAGUAUGAGAAGGCUAAAGAGUCUAGAAAAUCCAAACAUAAGUCAGAGCAAUCUCUAAGUAACUCUUUGUUUUUGCCUUAGCAGUAAGAGCAGCUCUCCUUAAUGGUAUCAAGAGUCUCCGAUUAAGGUUGAGUAGAAAAUUUUUUAGACUUUUUGAAUAAAUUAAGAAAUUGAAAGACUAAACUUGAAAAUAAAAUUUUUGUUAAGGACUAAAACAAAGAUAAAAGAAAUUGAGAAAGAAAAGGAUAAAGAAGAAAAAUUCUUGUUUGGGCUUAUUAAUACCUCCGCCAAUACAUUAAACCAAUAGAUAAUUAAUAUAUAUUCGUUAAGUAUUCAAUAAUAAAGACUAUACCAAUCAUUCAUAGUACGUGUCACUCUCUUAUUUAUUGUACUAUGUACACAUAAUGUGGCGAUGCACUAUUUGCACCACUUGCAUUUGUGUGUUGCAUCACUCUUUCUCAAAAUACUUCUCAACUUUCUUCAAGUUUUGAAACUCUUUCCCCCAAAGAAAAAUUAACCAAUAGUUACUUUCAAAAAUAAGUUUGAAAAUAUCAAUUGAUAAAAACAAGAAUUAAUUCUUUUGUUUUUAACAUCCAUAAUCAUCCCACACAGGCGAUUAUUCUAGGCAGACAUCACAGACAAGAAAAGCUGUAGAAAUAUUUUCACGCAGCAUCUACCUUCAAGAUAGUAGAANNNNNNNNNNNNNNNNNNNNNNNNNNNNNNNNNNNNNNNNNNNNNNNNNNNNNNNNNNNNNNNNNNNNNNNNNNNNNNNNNNNNNNNNNNNNNNNNNNNNUUUUCUGCUUUGUGUCAAAAAAUGUCAUUUAUAUUAUAUGUAGCUAUAAAAGCAAAGCAAAGCAACAAAAAGGAAAAAAACAAAAACAAAGAGCUUCUUUUGGAUACCUAAUUAUUGAUGAAAUCUGUAGAGAUUUUUGUACAGGGUGGUUUCGAAGAUUUCUUUCCUAUUUAAUAUAAUCUAAUUAAUUACCAUGCAUUGCAUUAAACUUUACCGUUUCUCUUUUUUGUAAAGUAGUUUUGUUCAUUGUUUCCAUAUACAGAAACUAUCAUAAUUUCGUAUAGAUUUAAGAGAGAUAAGAGUUUAUUAUUAAGUUAGUAAAAGAUAAUUCUUUGACCUCACAACCAUAUCUGUCAAUAUUAUUUUUUCUCCAAUCAUUUACACUAUAGUCAAAAUAUAUAAUAUCAGAGUUACAAUUUUAUAUGAACGAGUCUCAAUUCUUUUAUUCUAAAAGGCUUAGUACGUGCAUUAGUGAGCUAAAGAGAUACUCAACUCUCACCAAUAACAAUAUUGAUUUAAAAGGAAAUUCGGACUAAAAAUCUCUUAUAAUUCUUAAAAAUAAAAAUAUCGAGCAGAUUACUUAUAAAUUAUUAUUUUUUUAAAUAUAAUAAUUGGAUAUUUAAAUUAAUUAUAUAUGCGUCAAGAAAAUAACAGUAAAUGAUAUAAAAUUCUUGCUAGUUAAUAUUGUUGGAUGUAACAGUGAGGAAAAUUAAAGUAUUUUCCCAAUGUAAUAUUUUUUUUAAAAAUAAUAAUUGCAAUUUAUACUUUAGCUUUAAUAUGGUCAAACAUAUAUUUAAAAGGUUUAGCCACAAUUGUUAUGCAAAUUAUGGAAACUCCAACUUUUGCAAAGCAAUAAUUUGUUUGUCAUGUCAGAAAAAAGAAAAAGGAAAAUGGAAAAUCUGUCCAUUUUAGCUCUUUUCUUUCUAUAAUCUACAUGUCCAUAUGAGCUAUUUAAUUAAACAUAAAACUAAGCCAAAUGUGAUCUAAUCAGCAGUCUAGUGCUUGACAUGCACAUGCUGCAUGCAGCCAAGGAAAUUAAACAUUAAUUAGAUCAUGGCUAUCAUUUUUCUUUUUUCAAAAAGAAACCCAGAAUAGUAAUUGAAAAGAAAACAAAAAUUCCCAUCAAAACACUGUUCAAAUGGAACAUGACGAUGGAAAAGAAGUUGGAUAUUGGAAAUGCAGAGCUUUCCCUUUCAUUAUUAAUUUAUCCCAACAAAAGUGAUAUACAUACACUUGCAUUUCGCACCACGGCAACAUGGACUGCAAUGAUGCAUGAUGCUAUAGCCUUAAGAACAAAACAAAAGGACCCAUUAAAUUGGUGUCAAUUGGUUACCAAAAUGGAUACAUAUCAUAAGUAUCCUGCAAUUUUCCAUCCAAAGUAAGUGGUAGGACAUCCAUUUUUUAAGCGCACUGUUCCAUAUUUGGUACGGCCAUGUUUAACUUGAAUAUGGUAGAAUAUAUUUAUAUAAUAUUAAUUAUUAAUUUAAAAUUAAUGGUUAAAAUUUGUAAUUCAAUAAAAAAUUAUUUAUUUUUAAAAUUUUAAAUUUAAAUUUUUAAUAAAAUCGCAACUGUUCAAUUUCAUAUUAAAUAUGUAAAUUAGAAACGUGAUAGAAUUUUAAUCCAAAUAAGUAAAAAGAAAAUAAAAAUAAAGUUUAUAAGAAACAAAAUCGCUACAGAAAAUCACCUGUUGUACAGAAUCAUGCUAAAAGAAACCAAGAUUCCUGUGACCAUAAUUUGUACAUACUUUACUCUGCUUUUAUUUAGCCUACUCUGUACUGUUAAAAGAAAAUUACCACAGUAGAAAGAGGUAAAUUUUUGAAAUCGUUUUUUAUCCAGUACGGUCCCCGACGUCAUUACAAGUAAUCGUCGCUACUACUGCCUUCAGGCCUCCAAAAGAAACUAACUGCAAACCGUCACCCUGCAUAAUAAAACUCGAAAAUUAUACCCCUUUUAUGCCCCAUUCUGCUUUAAAAAAUUGUGGAAGGAAUCAUGACUCGCAAGGCCAAAAACUCACGUAAAUCUCUUCAAUUCUCCUCCAGGCAUGACUACAGUGAAAGCACUUCUCCAUCUCAAUCUCCCUAUGAUUCAAAUGAUGAUGAUGAUGAAAUUGAAGAUGAUGAUGAAGAACAGCCCAUAAUAUCAGAGUCCGUUACCAAUAGUCUCAAUGCUGACCAAUUAUCCUCAAGUUCUUACAGUAACUCUCAACCCAAUAAUUCUUACAUAAAUGUUGCACCAUUACCAGUCUUUCAUGGCAAUUCUAAUGAAUGUCCUAUAGCACAUUUAAGCAGGUUUGUCAAAGUUUGCAGAGCGAAUAAUGCUUCUUCUACUGAUAUGAUGAUGAGAAUCUUUCCUGUCACUCUUGAAAAUGAGGCUGCACUUUGGUAUGAUCUUAAUAUUCAACCAUAUCCUUCACUUUCUUGGGAUGAAAUAAUGUUGUCUUUUUUAGAAGCGUAUCAGAGAAUUAAAUUAGUUGAUCAAUUGCGGUCCGAUCUUAUGAUGCUAAAUCAAGGCAGUGAUGAAUCUGUGAGAUCUUAUUUCAUGAGAUUGCAAUGGAUUUUGAAGAGAUGGCCUGAUCAUGGAUUAUCAGAUAAUAUGCUUAAAUGGAUAUUCAUAGACGGAUUGAUGGGAAAUUUUAAAGAUUGGAUAAUUCCCCAUAAACCCAAUUCUUUAAAUGAGGCACUAAGGUUGGCUUUCAGUUUUGAGCAGGUUAAAAGCAUUAGAGGCACGAAGCAAAAGGUUGUGAAGUGUGGGUUUUGUGAGGGGUCCCAUGAGGAAAAUUGUUGUGUUGUUCGAGAGAAAAUGAGAGAGUUGUUCAGAAACAGUAAGAAGAAGAUGAUGAUUCCUAAGGAGGCAAGUGAGAGAAGCGAAGCCGGAAACGAAAUGGCAGAGAAUAAGGAUGGUAAAGAAGGAGAAGAAGAAGAAGAAGUAGAUGUUGGUGAUGAUAAAGAAGAGAAACGGAUGCUUAGUUCGAGCAAGACGGGGAAAAGCCCAUGCCAGUGUUCGAAACAUCAUUGCUGGAUGAAGAAAUUUGAGAGGAGUAACAGCGUGACAACAAGAAAUUCUGCUGCAGAAUGAUUUGUUUAUGUUUUUCGCUUUUUUUUUCCGAAUGUGUUUUUGUCUGCCCAAAUUUGGAAUUGUUCUGUAUCUCUGUAUGUUGUAAGUGGCAACUGAUAAAUUGGAAGGUGUUGAUAGAUAGCUCUAAUCCUUUGUUUUGCACUCUUGAUUCACAAUGAAAGCAAAUUAUCAACUAAAUUGAGCAGAAAGACAGGGGAGACAGAUAUAAAAUAGAUUCUCGGUUAAAACUUCUGUCCACACAAUUAAACUUUUGUACAUCAGAGCUGUUGAAUGAGAAGCUUCCAAGUGUAACUUGUUCAUCCAACAGCUAUGACAAUAUGUGCACUUCUCACCAGUUUCAUUGUCCUACAAGAAAUUAACUUCUCUCUCCUCAAAAGCCUUUUGGAAAAAUUGUUUAGCUACAGCUACUGCAACUUAUAAAUAUGAUGCCCUCCAUAUUGCCAUUUAUGGUUGAAAAUGUAACUUGGGAAUGGAUAAACAGAAAAUGGAGGUUGAAAAACAAAGGAGGGUCAACAACUAGUCGUUGUAGUAUAGUGGUGAGUAUUCCCGCCUGUCACGCGGGUGACCCGGGUUCGAUCCCCGGCAACGGCGUAAAUCUUUUUCAGCGUUCAACUUUCUAGUUUCAAGUUUAAUUUAAGAAAAAUUACAAAAAGGAAAUCUUAUUUUUUUAUUUUUUUACCAUAUUAUAUUUUUGAAAAAAAAAUAUAUAUUUUUUUUUAAGAAUUACACAGUAAAAAGGAUUUUUUUUUUUUUUUACUUUAAGAUAUUUCUAAGAAAUCUUUUCAAUUUACAUGGCAAUUUCAGUUUCUCUCUUCGUUCACGGAAAAACUGUUGUUUAAAAAAAUCAAAUUUCUCAUGCAAACAAUUAUUCCAACAACAGCAUUCAAUCUCCAGUUAAAAUUAGGAGGGCAUGAUGAUAACGUAAUUCAAUGGAAGAAAAGAUAGAGAGAAAAGAAUCUGAUAUUCUUAAUCAAACAACAAAUUCAAACCUUUAAGUACGGGAUCUUAAUGAAGAAGAAUAAGAUCCGGACACAGGAAGAAUAAUUCACACAAAGAGAGUAUUUUUAGAAGAAUGUAAUUCUAUUGAUAAUUUCAUUUCAGCUCCCUUUCCCCUUAUAUUCCCUUACAAUUCAGCAACUUGUUCUGUUAUAAAAGAAACAGAUUGUAAACUUGUCACCUCAUUAAUGUCACAUCAUUAAUCUAGUAACACAUGAACCCAAUAUCAUCACUACCAUUGCAUAUAGUCGUCCCUUCGAGAACAUUCAAUAAAAUUGGAAUAUGCACGAAUCAAAAACCGAUCUGAAUUUUUAAUCACCAAAAAAUUUUAAANNNGGCGUCAACUGAUUAGGGCCCUGAAUAUUGCUACUCAAAAUCAUCAUCUUGAUGUGAAGAUAGACCUCAUCCCAGAUUCCCAGUUCAUUAGUCAGACUGCUCAAUCAAACCGCCCAUUGGGUAUAAGAUCAUAGAAGGUAAAAUUUCAGCAUGAAAACACGACUUUAAGGCAUUAAAAGGGUUGAAAUAUUAUUAAACAUAAUACCAGUCUGAAUGAGCCUGUUGUUUUUUUUGCACUAAUACACCCACAAGGUUUUCUCAAGCUGCAACUAAUAAUAUUGAACACUUGUGUCCAAUAAAUUCGAAACACUUGUAGAUUGUUGUCUUUUUUGUUUAACUCACUUCACUUCACAAAAUUGCUCUGUCAAAUGCUAUGCAGCGCAUCGUGAAAUGGGUCCAUUUCCAUAUCACAGAAUACUUUCUGGAACAUGCAAUAUCAGAUUAUGGGCAAAUAUACAUACCUGCUCAACAUUCAGUUACAAGUAUUUUCAGCUGUACCUAUACAAUUUAAAGUCAUUGCCUCGGUUCUUAAGCCUACGUUAACAAACUAAUAAUGCAACUAUUCAUUAGUUAAACCAAUUAUAUCAGUAAUCACAUCUUGCAGUUGCGAAACAUGAGUCAAAAACUUGUCAUGGUGUUCACUAGAUUCAAAGUGAUUCUGCUGCAACUGGGAAAGGCCAUCACCAAUUACCUUCAGACCACUAUGGAGUAGUUCCACUCCCUUGCUGAUUCCAUCAGGGAGUUUUCUUCUCUUAUUGGAUUGGACGUCAACACCAACAUCUUCACAUUCCAUAGUCUCUAUCUGGAUACUUGAAAUCCUCUGAACCAUUUCUUUCAGCAUGAUACCUUCCUUCACAAGCAACUGAAGUUGUUCGAGGCUAGGACUAACAGUGAGAACAGCCAUUUCCUUCUCAAGAAAUGCCUUUAACUCGGACAUAAAUCUCUCUUCAUUUGCUUCAUUUCCUGACAUAAGAUCAUAUGAAAGAGCUGCAUCUUGAGGGACAAAUCGCCAUAGCUGGUUGCAAGAAGUACGAGCAGCAAAAUAUCCAAAUGCCGCAAUUGCAAGAUGAACAAGCGCCCAAUGUCGCUCCUUGAAUAGCAUGUGAUACAACUCCCACACAGCACAGCUCUUUGCACAAUUAUCACUCUCUGACAUAUCCAUGUCCCCAAGUCCUCCCAUAAAAAGCAGCAGGUAUGGUUUGCACUGAUACAAUAGAGGAUCAGAGGCUGCCGGCCCUGAGAUAAACAGGUUCUGAAGCUCCAGGAUAACUUCCUCUAUCUCAUCAGAUUUAUAUAGAUGCUUUAGAUUUGAGAUGAUCCCCAGUGUCUCAUUUAAAAGCUUAUGAUAAUGUUCCUUCAUUAAUUUGUGCACGGCAUUUUUGAAGUUGCGGAUAGUGGUAACUAAGAAGUUGAGGCUCUUCAUGUCAACAUCAGAUAUGCUAACCUGUCUACAAGUCAUGAAACUUCUGUUCAUCAUUUCUAACUCUAAAUGAUAGACGGGAUAAAUUUUGUGAGAAAUUAUCUGGCAUAGGCAUAUUUGAAACUCAAUGAUCACUAAAGAAAUUAUGCUUGCACUUGGAGACAUCCUACUGCAACUGCAUCUGUAUCUACACCUAUGUUGAUGAGAAAUUAUUGAGUGUGCCAAAUGCAUGGGCGAUACCGCAGACUAACAGAAUUAGUGGGCUCCACAUUGUGGCACCCACCUCUCAUCCGAGUGUGUUAACAUUUAUGCUUGGCACACCUAAUAAUUUCACCAAUGUCCGUGUACAUGACAAAGAAGAAAUAGGCACUUUUUUAUAUAUUUAACGCCGAAGGUCAAUACUAGCUAUUGUUACAUAGAUUUUUAUAUAAGCCUUGUAGGUUAGUCUAGUGAGUAUUCCUAAAUGGAAGACAAAGCAUUUGAUCUCAGCUAUGUUUUGGAACAGCCAUACAGAAAAGGAAUUGGUUACUCACUGUGACUGCAGAGAAGCUGAUAGAGUGAAAACUGGAAACCCAAAUACACCGGAACUGCAGGUAGUCGACAGUUUAUGACUAGAAGUUGCUGUGAAGCUAAAAUAAUCAGUAACAAUUUUCUGUUUAGCAAUACUUCUCAAGUUAUCUGACAAUGAAUUAAGAGGAAAACCUUCCAAGAGCAAAGCUAUAUACAUGACUGAUGACCAGUGAGAUUUCCCAUCACCAAUGACUGAACUGUAGACAUGGUCUACUAUAGAUGAAGACCCAUUCAUAAGAAGCGAGCAGAUUAUUCUUGCUAUUUUCCUCAGAGGAGAAGCAUGAAUAAGAACAGAUUCUGGAGAUGCUAGUAGCUUCAUUAAAGAGAGAAACUUAUCAAGAAUGCCAUUUACCAUGUCAGAUUCAGCAUGACGCGACCAAAAGCACCAAAGUUCCCUUAUCAUCUCCCAGCACAGAAAAUGUGGAUGGAAAAGAUUCUCAAGCAGAAAAGCCUCCAUCUCCACCCAACCGGAACUUGAAGACACCAAAAUCAUGAAGGUUUUUAAAGCAUCCAAAAGGGAAGAAAAAAUAGGCUGCCAAACCAGUUCAAUUGUUUUCCCACAGCCAUAUGAUACUAGAAUUUGCAAAUCAAGAAACGAAGAAUACACCUCUUCAUCAACUAAUAUAUCCAAAAGCCACCCAAGUUUUCUUGUUAGUUUGUUCCGGACAUCUUCUUCAACAUAAAUAGAAUACCUUAGUAAAGUAUGAAAUAAUGCAAUCCGACCUAGCAGCAAUAGUCUCUCUUGAGGUAUAGAUUCAGAACUUACAGAAAAGAUUUCAACCAUGGAAUUUAAGUGAUAAAAACUACUUAAAUCGCCAUGGAAAGAAUUUGAGCAGCAUUCAUCAGCGAAUAUCCAGUCCAAAAGUUCAAGCUUCUGCUCCUGGUUUACUUCAGUUGAAUUCAGUAAAGAAGUAAGCAAAUCGAUGGACGUCUUCUCUAAAAGUUCUGAGAACACUUCACUGGCAGUAUUCAAAAGCUUCUGAAAGCUCAAUAAAAUCCUGAAGGUUGAAAUCAUUAGGACACAGUGUGACACCUCCCUGUAUACGAGAUAUGCUUGGCAUGGAUAGAAAGAGGAUAUUUUUACUGCAUUAAUAAGAUAAAACUUGGCUGGAAGAAAUAUCCUUCUAGCUUCAGUCAUGGAAAUGGUUUCCUCCAAAGAAGACCAAGCCACGGCUGCACACUUAAGAGGUUCAUUGACAAGUGAAAUUAGGGUUACAAUAAUAUCUUGCACGCUUACCCCCUCGGUUAGCACUUCCUUGCCUUGCUGAAGCAAAGUAACCACACCUUUCCAUGAUACAUUGAGAACGGUUACCAGAUUUCCACCAUCAUUUGCUGCAAGGAUGCCCAGUUUAUACAAUUUCUCUAUGGUGCAUUUUGUUAUAUUUAUAACAUGAUUCCUACUAUUGACCACUUUCUGGUCUACGCUACUCUCUUCCUUCUCAAAUCUUGCAUCACAGGGAUCCCAAUUCACAGCUAGGAAAUACUCCUUGCAUAAUCUCAUCACAGCAUCAAUCACCAUCUGUGCAGCCUUCAGUACUUCUGUGCCACAACUGAUUCUCUGUUUGUAACAGGGAAAACAGAACCUUAGAAAUGGAUAAAUGUUUAAUUUUUUAGGCAAACAAAGAGCAGAAAACUUAUUGUUAAAUGGCGUGAUUAUUUAAAGCUGAAAUUUAUAUUUCCUGCAAGCUCAAAUACAUAUAUAAUUUUAGCUUUUUAUAAUAUAUAUUUUCCUAGCACAUAAAAGAUGCUCUGAAUGAAGUUAAUCUAGCAAUAUGUAUGUGAUUUUCUUUUUAUUCAAAUAGGUAUUCAACCAGCUCAGCCUUCACAAAUUCCAUGAUCCAAGGAUGAAAAGCAUUGAAACAAAAAGCAACAAGCAGCUACCUUAGCCUCUGAUACUACAUCCCUUGUCAAAUUUAGCUGUUCCAAUAUGAAUCUUUCAACAAUUACUGCAGAAUCAUUGUCAGUCAUGACAGGGUAUCUGGUCAAAGCUAUCAUGCUAGUGGCAGAGAGGCUUAAGAAAUCUAAAAGAACCUGCAAAAAGGUUAAUGUUUGUUAAAAGAAAUUUAUAAUAAAGCAAGCAAAUAACAUCUAUAGACCAGGUGAUAAUUUAAUUAAUUUAGCAAAUUGAUUGCUGUAAGCAUCAAAAAUCUUGAAAAAAUUCAAAGGGUCAUGGUUAAAGGUGGUAAGUGUUUGCUUUUAUUGGAAGCAAAAACUACAGAUCAAUUCAUAAAUCAAAAAGAUAAAAAGUCUAAAGUGUGAAUAAAGAAUGCUCAUCGUGGGAGAACUUGAAAUGAACAACUAAAAGAGAGACUUAGUUAAGCAAAAGACUACAAGUAUAAAUUCACGCCUGCAGUAACCCUAAAUGGACUGGCACGCAUAUAAAGAAGAACUGCAUGUGAAGUUACAGCGCGCAUCUUAUUGAUUAUAAUGUGAGAUUGACAUUUCAUGCACUUUCUAUAAAAUCAUAAAAAUAAAUAAACGUUGGAUUAAAACUAACAAAACGCAUUAAGAACUGAAUUAAANNNNNNNNNNNNNNNNNNNNNNNNNNNNNNNNNNNNNNNNNNNNNNNNNNNNNNNNNNNNNNNNNNNNNNNNNNNNNNNNNNNNNNNNNNNNNNNNNNNNNNNNNNNNNNNNNNNNNNNNNNNNNNNNNNNNNNNNNNNNNNNNNNNNNNNNNNNNNAGUACUAAUCACUGGGAACAAAAUGCAAAACUAUAUAAUUUUAAGUACUACUCAACGGCAAUAAUAAUUGAAGGAACUUACAUCUGAAGAUUUGAUGGCUUCUAGAAGAGUGUGGAAAUCGUUGUUGGAGCUGUGUCUCUCCAUUUUCGAACUGAUUGUGUUUUGCUCUAUGCUCCGGUCGUGAUUUUUGAUUUGCGCGCUGCGGUCUGAUAAUGGCUCGCGUUCCCGCCUCCGAAACCAGCAGGGUUUGCACUUUGGAGCCCGAAUAAUAGUAGCCUUGAUCUAGUGGUCCACGCUGGCCGAUUAUUAGAGAGUGAUACAUAGAGCGACUAUAGUAUUUAAAUUACAUCUUUUAUUAUUUAAAUAUAAAACAUAUAUAAUAGGUGUCUAUUAAAAAAUAAAUUAAUUCGCAAACAAAUAUAGAAAUUAAAAAAGUGAUGGUCUAGUUGAGUCAACUAACAUAAAGUAAUUAUAGUAUUUAAAUUAUAUUAAUAUCUUUUACUAUUUGAAGUAUAAAAUAACUAUAAAUAGGUGUAUAUAAAAAAUAAAUGAAUUACUUUUCAAAUAUUAUAAAAAAGAAACCAGUGACAGUUUAAUUGACAUCAAUUAAUGAUACAAGGAAAGUAAUUGUAAUAUUUAAGUUAUAUGUAUAUCUCUUACUAUUUAAAUAUAAGGCACUAGUGGUUUGCAAAAACUUUGCUUUUUCGCUCCGAAUGCCAGAUUAAAGGGUUGAUCGUCCUGUCAUUUUAUUUUAGAAUUUAGAGUUCCAACUACGAUUUGAUGAAUUUUUUUCACAAAACUUGAGAAGGGUUUAAAAUUUAGUUUCAAAAAUAUAUCAAAAAAUAAAUUACAUUACAAAUAUUUAUAAAAAAAAUAAAAUUAGAAAUUAUCUAAUUGAGGUCACGCAAUAGAUUAUAUGUAUUGAUUUUGUUGUUUAAGUAUAAAAUAUUUAUUUUUUGUCAAAAGAAGUACAAAAUAUUUAUAGUAAGUUACUUUUCACAUAAUUUGAGAAAGUAUAACAGAUAGAAACUCAUAUUUUACCCUUUUACCCUUUUAUUAUGUUUGCAAUUGCCCAUAUUUAUUCACAUUUUGUAUCCGUAUUUUCAUUCGUAUAUACAUUUGCCCUUUAUUUAUUGUCGUGAAAUAUAAAAAAAAUUACGAUUGCCCGUAUUUAUCCACAUUUUGUAUCUGCACUUUUAUUGUUAUAUACAUUUGCCCUCAGUGAAUUCUUUUUUUGAAAAAAAGUGAGAUUCUAAUUGGUGAAAUUUAAAAAAAAAAAAAAAGGAAAAACAAAAGGUGAUAGUCUAAUUGAGAUCAACCAAUGAAGCCAUGUUGAGACCAAACGGCACCGGCCUGUAAUCCAUCCACUGUCAAGAGCGGGAGGUGAACGCUGCUCUGUGAAACCAGCCUCACGCAGUACCCUCCCACUUUAGGGGCAGAAUAAUCCCAGCUUUCGCUAGGACUACAAGGCCCAACUCUUGACUUGGACUGGGCAAGCCAGCAAUUAGCCAAUUGAAUCCGACUCAUUGGCUAGAGCCAACAUCCCAUCACCUUAAAGCCCUCACUUGAGUUACAAGGCCACGUUACCGACCCCAGCUGAUUGGGUGUGUUUCCGGUAAGCUUAAAAAGAGAAAAGGAGAGUUGUGUUUUAGCAAUGUGGGAUUUGAAAAAUAAAACCCCCAAUGUGCUUUGCAUGCACUAUAUUAUGGAAAAUCUUGAGGCCAAAUAUGAUUCAUAACAGUUGAAAUCAAACAAACCCAUCGCGUUCCUAAACCUGUUCAAAUGCCCUUUGUUCAUCCUAUUUUCAAAAAAUUUGUCCUUCUUUUCACAAUUUUAUCACAUGUUAGUAGUAAAAGGUAACUAUAAAUUCACAAUUAGAAAUUUAAAAAAUGUGUUUGUAUAAGUGUUGUAAUUGAUACUCGAAUACGUUAUUCUAUGAAUUAGGUGAUAUCAAGUUUAGAACAGGAAAAGAAAGAUACAAAUAGAAUAUAUAUGUACAUAUUUUUAAAUUGAUUAUCAUUCUUCAACUUUUUUUCUUUUUGUUCUAUCUCAAUAAAUGAUGAGGUUAAGGUUUUUUGUAUGAAAACAUAUAUAUAUCACAUUAAAAAAAAUAUUACAAACGAUAAUCAAAUAAAUUUUAAAACAGAUGUAAAAUACUUAUAUAUAGUAUACAUAUUAUAUAGGAGUAAUUACUAUUUAUUUUUUCUAUUUUUUUAUAUUAUACUAAUUACUCCUACUAUUUAAAAGAUCUAUUUUUUUAUUUUUUUAUUUUAUACUAAAAACCAUUUCUGUUAGAAUUUAUGUUAAACAACCAUUUGACUAAUUGAGUACGAUUUUGACCAAAUUAAGUUACCGGUUAAAAUUAGACAAUAUCGACGUAAUUUGAAAAAUAAUAAUUCAAAAUUAAAUAUUGUGUAAGGUGUAGACCGAUCCAAGCUUUGGCUCGAACUUGAAGGUCCACUUCUCGUCUUGGAUUGGGCAAAGCCAGCAAUUAGCUACUUGGACACGGCUCAUUGGCUAGACCCAAAGUCCCAGCACCUCACAGCUCUCACUUGAGUUACAAGGCCACGUUACUGCCCCCAGCUGGGUUGAAACGUUUUUGGUAAUUUUAAAAGGAGGAAAAAUGAGUAGUGUUUUGAAAAUGUGGGAACAUUCUAAGUACUUAUUAUGGCAUUUUGAGGCCAAAUAUGCUUCCAUAACUCUUGAAUUAUGGCAGUCCAAAACAUGUUCGAAUGUCUUUUUGGUCAUCCUAUUCACAAAAAGGUUGCUAUCAUUUCGCAGUUUUACCACAUAAUUUCAUGAGUUGGUAGUAAAAUGCUUAGUGCAAAUUUG
RNAcentral lists this long non-coding RNA (36128 nucleotides) under Ricinus communis (castor bean). Its description in RNAcentral is "long non-coding RNA (RCOM_LNC000940)". The stretch from base 27815 to 27886 matches the Rfam family "tRNA". The record is from RNAcentral. Lineage: Eukaryota; Viridiplantae; Streptophyta; Magnoliopsida; Malpighiales; Euphorbiaceae.